Bos taurus (domestic cattle) is the source of this 73-nucleotide non-coding RNA. NCBI's taxonomy places the organism in Eukaryota, Metazoa, Chordata, Mammalia, Artiodactyla, Bovidae. The record is from Rfam.
UCCCUGGUGGUCCAAUGGCUAAGACUCUGCACUUCCACUGCAGGGGUCACAGGUUCGAUUGCUGGUCAGGGAA